Bos indicus x Bos taurus (hybrid cattle) is the source of this 585-nucleotide long non-coding RNA. The record is from Ensembl. Lineage: Eukaryota; Metazoa; Chordata; Mammalia; Artiodactyla; Bovidae.
GUCUGAAGGGCCGAGGCCUCUCCUCUCCUCAGAUCCCCUCCUCUCCGCGAUGUGAGGGCAGCCAAGGACGGGAAGAGAAGGGAACAGGAGAGAGAGUCGAGGACUUAUGCUAUCUACAAGGAGCUUGGAGUUGAGCUACUGUGUGAUCCAUGUAAACAAAUGAUGAUAAACAAGUUAAGGCACAUUUAUGUACAAAGUGGUCUAAGAACACUGUAAACGGAGGAAUUGCUUGUUUCAGGCUGCUAGGAAAAGAGUAAAGGGUACAGGAGAGAAAGGAGAGAAAACUGGCAUUGAGUCUUGAAAGACAACUUGCGCCCCCUAGACAGACAUCACUGGGGUAGGCGAGUUGCUAAGGGAAUGGGAUGGACAGUAUUCCAGACAAAUGGAGGAACAGGUGAAAAGGAGGUGGUAGGAGGGAACUGAGAAAGUGCGCUGGGUUUGGGGAACUGGGGCAAAGCAGGAGAGCAUAACAACGGCCAGAGAGAAGGUACAGGAGUGGAUUCGAGGCAGGCCAGCAAAAGAAUUCAUGGAUGUCAAUCUUUGCUAGUGCUCACGCUCAGUCACUUCAUUCAUGUCCAACUCUUU